RNAcentral lists this long non-coding RNA (1617 nucleotides) under Homo sapiens (human). Its description in RNAcentral is "long non-coding RNA NONHSAT130405.2". The record is from RNAcentral. Lineage: Eukaryota; Metazoa; Chordata; Mammalia; Primates; Hominidae.
GGCUCUGCUCCUGUUGGUUCUCAUACUCAACGCUUUACUGGCAGCACACUGCCAUCCUGAUUUCCUGUUAUGAGAAAAAGCUCAGCAAUUGCUCCAAAACACAGGAUCCCCUUACUCCACCAAAUGCUGGUUAUGUACUAGCUCUUCCUCUAAAACACCAGGGAGAGCUUAUCCAGCCUGUACCAGAGAUUGGACAAGCAUAGACAUAGAGUUACGUAUUUCCUCUCAACAGGACCCUAAUCUGAAAGAGCUAUUUGGGUCUGCAAAUAACAUUUUUUGCAAAAGCAAAGCAGUAUUUACUUGACAUCCACAAGGCACCUCUCAUUUUUGGAUCAAUCUUUUCUAAUAUCACUUUAAUGGGAAUAACCUCUAUUUGUCUUAUGGCCAAAAGAAAAAGAUGGAUUGGAUGUAGGCUCUUUCCCAGUAUAGCUUGUAAUGUUACUCUCUCUGUAGAUUCUAACCAACAGACUGAUGGAACAUACACCGAAAACCAAUUCCACCAUCAACCAAGAUUCCCCAAACCUUCAAAUAUUAUCUUUCUUCAGGCAACUUUGCUAAUUAAGUCCAUUCAGUUUUGCCAGCAAUGCCCAAGCUCAUGCAGUACUUGAAAUUUCUAGUUCCAGCCUGAUGAUUAUAACCAAUGUCUGCAAAUUGCCAACCUCAGCUCCACAGCAGAAUGGGUUCUAAUGGAGUAAACUCAAAAUUCUCUUUUUUUGGGAAAAUGAAACCAAGGGAGCUAAUCAGAGCCAAACCCCAUGUACCCAAGUGUUAGCAGGCAUGAAUGUAGCUACCAGCUACCUGGGUGUGUUGUCAUCCUUGGUAUUUUUGGGGGCUGUCCUCAUCUCUUCUUUUGUUUUGACAUCUCUACUUGUCUUAAAACCCAAGGAGCCUUCUGUGUUUGUGGCCAAUCAGUUUACCAAUGCCUCCUCAUUAAAUGGACUGGAACUUGUACCAUAGAUUAUGUACCCCUGGACAUCUUUAUACUCCCUGGCAAUCUCUCUCUUCCAGCACCAAUCCAUGGGAAUUCUAUCUUGCCCAGGGUGAAAAGGGCUAUCCAAUUAAUUCCCCUUCUUAUGGGCCUCAGCAUUAUAGCUGGUAUGGGAACCUAAACUGCCGGAAUCUCAAAAGCCUCCUUGACCUAUAGCCAACUCUGAAAGGAAAUAGCCAGCAAGUUUAAUAUCAUGGCUAAAACCUCAACCAUGGCCAGAGCAAAUUAACACUUUAGCAGUUGUAGUCCUCCAAAACUGUCAAGGACUAGAUAUGUUAAUGGCAGCACAGGGAGGAAUUUGUUUAGCUUUAGAUGAAAAAUGUUGCUUUUGGGUAAAUCAAUCAGUAAAAGUACAAAACAACAUCAGACAACUCCUAAAUCGAGCCUCCAGCUUACAAGAACAAGCCUCUCGUGGUUAGUUAGAUUGGUAAGGAACCUGGAAAUGGGAUCUUCCCUGGGUUCUUCCCUUUUUAGGCCCACAUGUUAGCCUCUACUUUUGCUCCUUUCAGUCCAUGUCUUCAAAAAUCUAAUAACCCAAUUUGUCUCCUUUCUCUCACCUUUAGAUGAUCAAGUUCCAGAUGAUCCUCAGUGAGGGAUACCAUCCUUUCAAUAUUCAAGAGUCACCCUUC